RNAcentral lists this ribosomal RNA (394 nucleotides) under uncultured bacterium. RNAcentral's name for it is "bacterial SSU rRNA". It matches the Rfam family "Bacterial small subunit ribosomal RNA", at positions 505 to 898 of the family's 1533-position model. The record is from RNAcentral.
GUGUCAGCAGCCGCGGUAAGACGAACCGUGCGAACGUUGUUCGGAUUCACUGGGCUUAAAGGGCGCGUAGGCGGUUGCUCCAGUCCGGGGUGAAAGCUUUCGGCUUAACCGGAAAAGUGCCUUGGAUACUGAGCAACUCGAGGGAGGUAGGGGCAGGUGGAACUUCCGGUGGAGCGGUGAAAUGCGUUGAUAUCGGAAGGAACGCCGGUGGCGAAAGCGACCUGCUGGACCUCUUCUGACGCUGAGGCGCGAAAGCCAGGGGAGCAAACGGGAUUAGAUACCCCGGUAGUCCUGGCCCUAAACGAUGGGUACUAGGUAGUGGACUUAACAUGGGUUCCCUGCCGAAGCUAAAGUGGUAAGUACCCCGCCUGGGGAGUAUGGUCGCAAGGCUGAA